Molecule: ribosomal RNA, 424 nt
Filed under: Fusobacteriota bacterium
Lineage: Bacteria; Fusobacteriati; Fusobacteriota
Description: Fusobacteria bacterium partial 16S ribosomal RNA
Rfam family: Bacterial small subunit ribosomal RNA
Source: RNAcentral
UGAGGAAUAUUGGUCAAUGGGCGAGAGCCUGAACCAGCCAAGUAGCGUGCAGGAUGACGGCCCUAUGGGUUGUAAACUGCUUUUAUGCGGGGAUAAAGUGUGCGACGUGUCGUGCAUUGCAGGUACCGCAUGAAUAAGGACCGGCUAAUUCCGUGCCAGCAGCCGCGGUAAUACGGAAGGUCCGGGCGUUAUCCGGAUUUAUUGGGUUUAAAGGGAGCGUAGGCCGCCAGAUAAGCGUGUUGUGAAAUGUACCGGCUCAACCGGUGAAUUGCAGCGCGAACUGUUUGGCUUGAGUGCACGGUAAGCAGGCGUAAUUCAUGGUGUAGCUGUGAAAUGCUUAGAUAUCAUGAGGAACUCCGAUUGCGAAGGCAGCUUGCUGCAGUGCGACUGACGCUGAUGCUCGAAGGUGCGGGUAUCAAACAGG